UCGCCAUUCCGCGGCGCACCUGGGUGUGUUCGAUGUUAUCGGCCUCGGUCGGUGGCACGGCUCACUUCGGUAGUGUCCGUGGACGGCGUGCACUUCUCUCUUAAGUAAUAACAUACGCGAACCCGUUCCGAUUGUCGGCCUUAAGCGCCGUUUCGGGAGACCCAUGCGUUCUUCCGGAUCGAGUGGACCUUAACGGACGCCGGCCGGCCCGUUGGACGGUAUAUUAUGUGAAUCGCGCACGCUUUUAGCGUUCCGGCCCGACGCAAGGUUAUGCAUCCGUCGAUUUCCUGCCCCAUGUGCGGACGUUGGCGCUGCGUGCCUGUUGUCUCUGCCGUGCAGUCUCGGACUGUGUGCGUCUCUGUCUGCGAUGUUUCCGUUUCGGGCACUCGCAGGACCCGUCUUGAAACACGGGACAAAA
RNAcentral lists this ribosomal RNA (418 nucleotides) under Hyblaea puera (teak defoliator). Its description in RNAcentral is "partial 28S ribosomal RNA". The record is from RNAcentral. Lineage: Eukaryota; Metazoa; Arthropoda; Insecta; Lepidoptera; Hyblaeidae.